Molecule: ribosomal RNA, 813 nt
Filed under: uncultured bacterium
Lineage: Bacteria
Description: bacterial SSU rRNA
Rfam family: Bacterial small subunit ribosomal RNA
Source: RNAcentral
ACGGGUGCGUAACGCGUAUGCAACCCACCCGCUGUCGGGGGAUAGCCCGGAGAAAUUCGAAUUAAUACCCCAUGAGGAGGAGAUGAGGCAUCUCGUUUCUUUCAAAACUUCGGUGACGGCGGACGGGCAUGCGUGCCAUUAGAUGGUUGGCGGGGUAACGGCCCACCAAGUCGACGAUGGCUAGGGGAUCUGAGAGGACGGUCCCCCACACUGGUACUGAGACACGGACCAGACUCCUACGGGAGGCAGCAGUAAGGGAUAUUGGUCAAUGGGGGAAACCCUGAACCAGCCAUGCCGCGUGAGGGAAUAAGGCCCUACGGGUCGUAAACCUCUUUUGCCGGGGGAUAAAGACAGCUACGUGUAGCUGUUUGAAGGUACCCGGAGAAUAAGCAUCGGCUAACUCCGUGCCAGCAGCCGCGGUAAUACGGAGGAUGCGAGCGUUAUCCGGAUUUAUUGGGUUUAAAGGGUGCGCAGGCGGGCGAUUAAGUCAGCGGUGAAAGGCUCGGGCUCAACCGGAGCAGUGCCGUUGAUACUGGUUGUCUUGAAUGCGGUCAAGGCCGGCGGAAUGUGGCGUGUAGCGGUGAAAUGCAUAGAUAUGCCACAGAACACCGAUAGCGAAGGCAGCUGGCCGGGCCUGCAUUGACGCUGAGGCACGAAAGCGUGGGGAUCGAACAGGAUUAGAUACCCUGGUAGUCCACGCUGUAAACGAUGGACACUCGUUGUCGGCGACAGACAGUCGGCGGCCAAGCGAAAGUGAUAAGUGUCCCACCUGGGGAGUACGGUCGCAAGGCUGAAACUCAAAUGAAUUGACGG